RNAcentral lists this ribosomal RNA (253 nucleotides) under uncultured bacterium. RNAcentral describes it as "partial 16S ribosomal RNA". It matches the Rfam family "Bacterial small subunit ribosomal RNA", at positions 524 to 776 of the family's 1533-position model. The record is from RNAcentral.
AACGUAGGAGGCUAGCGUUAUCCGGAUUUAUUGGGCGUAAAGCGUGUGCAGGCGGUUUAGUAAGUUGGAUGUGAAAGCUCCCGGCUUAACUGGGAGAGGUCGUUCAAAACUACUAGACUAGAGUAUGGGAGAGGGAGGUGGAAUUCCGGGUGUAGUGGUGAAAUGCGUAGAUAUCCGGAGGAACACCAGUGGCGAAAGCGGCCUCCUGGACCAUUACUGACGCUUAAACACGAAAGCUAGGGUAGCAAACGGG